This 269-nucleotide ribosomal RNA is filed under the name uncultured bacterium. RNAcentral describes it as "partial 16S ribosomal RNA". It matches the Rfam family "Bacterial small subunit ribosomal RNA", at positions 523 to 781 of the family's 1533-position model. The record is from RNAcentral.
UAGCGUAGGGUGCGAGCGUUAAUCGGAAUUACUGGGCGUAAAGCGUGCGUCAGGCGGUUUUGUAAGCCAGAUGAUCGGAAAUCCCCGGGCUUAACCUGGGAAUUGGCAUUUGGGACUGCAAGGCUUGAGUUUGGCAGAGGAGACUGGAAUUCCUGGUGUAGACAGUGAAAUGCGUAGAUAUCAGGAGGAAUACCGAUGGCGAAGGCAGGUCGUCUGGGCUAGAACUGACGCUCAUGACACGAAAGGCGUGGGGAAGCAAACAGGAUUAG